CGCCUAAUGUGUCAAGAACACACACAAAUCGUCACAUACACCGGGGUGCUCAGGAAUUUAUCACUUAGUUUAAUAAAAAAUAGGUGGAAGGUAUUUACUGGGUCGGCGUUAUGGGAUUUGUGGAGGCAUAAC
Molecule: small RNA, 132 nt
Filed under: Candidatus Regiella insecticola LSR1
Lineage: Bacteria; Pseudomonadati; Pseudomonadota; Gammaproteobacteria; Enterobacterales; Enterobacteriaceae
Description: t44 RNA
Rfam family: t44 RNA
About the family: This family consists of a number of bacterial RNA genes of between 135 and 170 bases in length. The t44 gene is found between the map and rpsB genes in all species in the full alignment apart from Shigella flexneri.
Source: Rfam by way of RNAcentral